UACGUAGGGGGCAAGCGUUGUCCGGAUUUAUUGGGCGUAAAGAGCGUGUAGGCGGCCAGGUAGGUCUGCUGUGAAAACUCGAGGCUUAACCUCGAGCUGUCGGCGGAAACCAUCUGGCUAGAGUCCGGAAGAGGAGAAUGGAAUUCCCGGUGUAGCGGUGAAAUGCGCAGAUAUCGGGAAGAACACCCGUGGCGAAGGCGGUUCUCUGGGACGGUAUUGACGCUGAGACGCGAAAGCGUGGGGAGCGAACAGG
This 253-nucleotide ribosomal RNA is filed under the name uncultured bacterium. RNAcentral's name for it is "partial 16S ribosomal RNA". It matches the Rfam family "Bacterial small subunit ribosomal RNA", at positions 524 to 776 of the family's 1533-position model. The record is from RNAcentral.